AGCAACGUCCAUACCACGCUGAAUACACCAGUUCUCGUCUGAUCACUGAAGUUAA
Molecule: ribosomal RNA, 55 nt
Filed under: Tribolium castaneum (red flour beetle)
Lineage: Eukaryota; Metazoa; Arthropoda; Insecta; Coleoptera; Tenebrionidae
Source: RNAcentral